GACGAACGCUGGCGGCGUGCUUAACACAUGCAAGUCGAACGGAAAGGCCCCUUUGGGGGUACUCGAGUGGCGAACGGGUGAGUAACACGUGAGUAACCUGCCCUUGACUUCGGGAUAACUUCAGGAAACUGGGGCUAAUACCGGAUAGGAAUCCUUGCUGCAUGGUGGGGGUUGGAAAGCCUCGGCGGUUUUGGAUGGACUCGCGGCUUAUCAGCUUGUUGGUGGGGUAGUGGCUUACCAAGGCUUUGACGGGUAGCCGGCCUGAGAGGGCGACCGGCCACAUUGGGACUGAGAUACGGCCCAGACUCCUACGGGAGGCAGCAGUGGGGAAUAUUGCACAAUGGGCGGAAGCCUGAUGCAGCAACGCCGCGUGCGGGAUGACGGCCUUCGGGUUGUAAACCGCUUUCAGCAGGGGCGAAGCUUUUGUGACGGUACCUGCAGAAGAAGCACCGGCUAACUACGUG
RNAcentral lists this ribosomal RNA (464 nucleotides) under uncultured bacterium. RNAcentral's name for it is "partial 16S ribosomal RNA". It matches the Rfam family "Bacterial small subunit ribosomal RNA", at positions 28 to 507 of the family's 1533-position model. The record is from RNAcentral.